AAGAAGGGCUUGGGGCCGGCAGGCCCAGCCGAGGAGCCGGAGGGGCCGGGAGCAGGGGCUGCCGGGGGGCUGCUGCUCCCCAACAGGGUCGGGCAGGAGGAGCCCUCAGCCAUCGGCAUGGGCACCCCGCACCCAGCACAGGGUAUGAAAAAGAAAAAAAAGAAGAAAAUCAAGAAUAAAAUCAAGUCACGGGAACCUUCUCUGGAGCAGCAGCGUGAGGAGGUCUCAAGCACCUUUGAUUUGUACCGCCGGGCCAUGCUGGCUCUGAAGAUGAGGCAGGAGCAGAGGAAGCAGCCGUCGGCCAUCGCCCCCUGAGCAGGGAGGCACCGAGCACGGGCUGUGGUCCCGAGGAGCCGGGCUGCAGGGCAGGGCAGAGCUGUGGGUGCUUGGCCAGGGCUGGCAGAGCUGGGAAAGGGGUCUGGGGCAUCAACUACAUCCUUGUCCUCUGAGUGGCUGAAAACCAGGGAUCCACAGGGGCGAGCCAAAAGUCCCUUUGUAAAACGCCUCUGGCAGCAAACCCGAGUGAAAAGGGAACAGCCGGCCCCUUGCUGCCCCCUGUUAGUGUUCCCUGGAAGACUCCGACUAAACGCGCAUUGGUCCGUGUGGAGAGGCAGAUCCGAGCAAACACCAGGGGGAAAGCUUGUCCCUUGUAUUGCCCGGUGCCGGGGAAGGCUGUGCUCACAGGUGAGGGCUGACCCGGCACUCCCUGCCUGCUGCCCGGAACGCUCUCGUUCCCUGCUGGUGACCGAGGGAGGGCAGCCCCGGGCGGUGUGCAGAGGAGCUCCACAUCUGGCAGGGCUCAGGAACCGCUUCCCACUCUGCAGGAAGGUGGUGCCCGUGUUUGUGCACCCUGCAGCCCAUCAGUGAACAUUUACAUGCAAAGGCAGCUGGUGGCAGAGGCUCCAUACCCAGGAGUGACCCUGCCACCCUUCCAGGAGGGACACUGUCGCUGGCAGCCUGGUACUCUGCUGCCCCAGGUGACACGGGACAGCAGCAGCACACCUGUCUGAGCCCAGCCUGUGACACUCUGUGUGUGCAGCAGCAGCAGCACAGCUGGUGACACUCUGUGUGUGCGGAGCAGCAGCACAGCUGUCCUAGGGCAGCCGGUGACACUCUGUGUGUGCAGAGCAGCAGCAGCACACCUGUCUGAG
Molecule: long non-coding RNA, 1151 nt
Organism: Zonotrichia leucophrys gambelii
Lineage: Eukaryota; Metazoa; Chordata; Aves; Passeriformes; Passerellidae
Exons: 3
Source: RefSeq, a predicted model, not a curated record